This 468-nucleotide ribosomal RNA is filed under the name uncultured bacterium. RNAcentral's name for it is "partial 16S ribosomal RNA". It matches the Rfam family "Bacterial small subunit ribosomal RNA", at positions 28 to 507 of the family's 1533-position model. The record is from RNAcentral.
GACGAACGCUGGCGGCGUGCUUAACACAUGCAAGUCGAACGGAAAGGCCCUGCUUUUGUGGGUUGCUCGAGUGGCGAACGGGUGAGUAACACGUGCGUAACCUGCCCUUGACUUUGGGAUAACUUCAGGAAACUGGGGCUAAUACCGGAUAGGAGCUCCUGCUGCAUGGUGGGGGUUGGAAAGUUUCGGCGGUUGGGGAUGGACUCGCGGCUUAUCAGCUUGUUGGUGGGGUAGUGGCUUACCAAGGCUUUGACGGGUAGCCGGCCUGAGAGGGUGACCGGCCACAUUGGGACUGAGAUACGGCCCAGACUCCUACGGGAGGCAGCAGUGGGGAAUAUUGCACAAUGGGCGGAAGCCUGAUGCAGCAACGCCGCGUGCGGGAUGACGGCCUUCGGGUUGUAAACCGCUUUCGCCUGUGACGAAGAGUGAGUGACGGUAAUGGGUAAAGAAGCACCGGCUAACUACGUG